This 520-nucleotide ribosomal RNA is filed under the name uncultured Paraglomus. RNAcentral's name for it is "SSU rRNA". It matches the Rfam family "Eukaryotic small subunit ribosomal RNA", at positions 569 to 1092 of the family's 1831-position model. Lineage: Eukaryota; Fungi; Glomeromycota; Glomeromycetes; Paraglomerales; Paraglomeraceae. The record is from RNAcentral.
AGCAGCCGCGGUAAUUCCAGCUCCAAUAGCGUAUAUUAAAGUUGUUGCAGUUAAAAAGCUCGUAGUUGUAUUUCAGGCCUGGCUGGACGGUCCGCCCUUCGGGUGAGUACUGUCUGUGGUCGGGUCCUACCUUCUGGCGAAGCGUCAUGGCCUUAACCGGCCGUGGCGGGGAACCAGGACUUUUACUGUGAAAAAAUUAGAGUGUUCAAAGCGGGCAAUCGCUUGGGUACAUUAGCAUGGAAUAAUGGAAUAGGACAAUGGUUCUAUUUGUUGGUUUCUAGGACCGUUGUAAUGAUUAAUAGGGAUAGUUGGGGGCAUUAGUAUUCAAUUGUCAGAGGUGAAAUUCUUGGAUUUAUUGAAGACUAACUACUGCGAAAGCAUUUGCCAAGGAUGUUUUCAUUAAUCAAGAACGAAAGUUAGGGGAAUCGAAGACGAUCAGAUACCGUCGUAGUCUUAACCAUAAACUAUGCCGACUAGGAAUCGGGCGAUGUUGAAAAAAUGACGCGCUCGGCACCUCAUG